AGCGAACGCUGGCGGCAGGCCUAACACAUGCAAGUCGAACGAACCUUUCGGGGUUAGUGGCGGACGGGUGAGUAACACGUGGGAACGUGCCUUUAGGUUCGGAAUAACUCAGGGAAACUUGUGCUAAUACCGAAUGUGCCCUUCGGGGGAAAGAUUAAUCGCCUUUAGAGCGGCCCGCGUCUGAUUAGCUAGUUGGUUGAGGUAAUGGCUCACCAAGGCGACGAUCAGUAGCUGGUCUGAGAGGAUGCUCAGCCACAUUGGGACUGAGACACGGCCCAAACUCCUACGGGAGGCAGCAGUGGGGAAUCUUGCGCAAUGGGCGAAAGCCUGACGCAGCCAUGCCGCGUGAAUGAUGAAGGUCUUAGGAUUGUAAAAUUCUUUCACCGGGGACGAUAAUGACGGUACCCGGAGAAGAAGCCCCGGCUAACUUCGUG
This 434-nucleotide ribosomal RNA is filed under the name uncultured bacterium. Its description in RNAcentral is "partial 16S ribosomal RNA". It matches the Rfam family "Bacterial small subunit ribosomal RNA", at positions 29 to 507 of the family's 1533-position model. The record is from RNAcentral.